This 793-nucleotide ribosomal RNA is filed under the name uncultured bacterium. RNAcentral describes it as "bacterial SSU rRNA". It matches the Rfam family "Bacterial small subunit ribosomal RNA", at positions 8 to 796 of the family's 1533-position model. The record is from RNAcentral.
AGAGUUUGAUCCUGGCUCAGGAUGAACGCUAGCGGCAGGCUUAAUACAUGCAAGUCGAGGGGCAACAGGGGUAGCAAUACCUGCUGGCGACCGGCAAACGGGUGCGCAACACGUACAGAACCUUCCUUUAAGCGGGGGAUAGCCCGGAGAAAUCCGGAUUAAUACCCCAUAGUAUUAUUGAUUGGCAUCAAUUGGUAAUUAAAGAUUUAUCACUUAAAGAUGGCUGUGCGUCUGAUUAGGUAGUUGGUUGAGGUAACGGCUCACCAAGCCAACGAUCAGUAACUGGUGUGAGAGCACGACCAGUCACACGGGCACUGAGACACGGGCCCGACUCCUACGGGAGGCAGCAGUAAGGAAUAUUGGUCAAUGGACGCAAGUCUGAACCAGCCAUGCCGCGUGAAGGAUGAAGGUCCUCUGGAUUGUAAACUUCUUUUAUAUGGGAAGAAAUGCCUGCUUUAUAGCGGGUUUGACGGUACCAUAGGAAUAAGCACCGGCUAACUCCGUGCCAGCAGCCGCGGUAAUACGGAGGGUGCAAGCGUUAUCCGGAUUCACUGGGUUUAAAGGGUGCGUAGGUGGGAAUGUAAGUCAGUGGUGAAAUCUCCGUGCUUAACAUGGAAACUGCCAUUGAUACUAUGUUUCUUGAAUUUUCUGGAGGUUAGCGGAAUAUGUCUGUAGCGGUGAAAUGCUUAGAUAUGACAUAGAACACCAAUUGCGAAGGCAGCUAGCUACAGGGAUAUUGACACUGAGGCACGAAAGCGUGGGGAUCAAACAGGAUUAGAUACCCUAGUAGUCC